GUGCUAGCUUUGAGAGCACAUAUAUUAAAAUUGGAAAGAUACAGAGAAGAUUAGAUGGUCUCUGUGCAAGGAUGAUACACACAUUUGUAAGAGUGUAACUUCAUAU
This is a small nuclear RNA of Lutra lutra (Eurasian river otter), 106 nucleotides long. The record is from RefSeq and is a predicted model, not a curated record. NCBI's taxonomy places the organism in Eukaryota, Metazoa, Chordata, Mammalia, Carnivora, Mustelidae.